RNAcentral lists this ribosomal RNA (357 nucleotides) under uncultured bacterium. RNAcentral describes it as "bacterial SSU rRNA". It matches the Rfam family "Bacterial small subunit ribosomal RNA", at positions 29 to 416 of the family's 1533-position model. The record is from RNAcentral.
AACGAACGCUGGCGGCAUGCCUAACACAUGCAAGUCGAACGAAGGCUUCGGCCUUAGUGGCGCACGGGUGCGUAACGCGUGGGAAUCUGCCCUUGGGUUCGGAAUAACUCAGAGAAAUUUGAGCUAAUACCGGAUGAUGACGUAAGUCCAAAGAUUUAUCGCCCAAGGAUGAGCCCGCGUAAGAUUAGCUAGUUGUGGGGUAAAGCCUACCAAGGCGACGAUCUUUAGCUGGUCUGAGAGGAUGAUCAGCCACACUGGGACUGAGACAUGGCCCAGACUCCUACGGGAGGCAGCAGUGGGGAAUAUUGGACAAUGGCGAAAGCCUGAUCCGGCAAUGCCGCGUGAGUGAUGAAGGCC